GACGAACGCUGGCGGCGUGCUUAACACAUGCAAGUCGAACGGAAAGGCCCUGCUUUUGUGGGGUGCUCGAGUGGCGAACGGGUGAGUAACACGUGAGUAACCUGCCCUUGACUUUGGGAUAACUUCAGGAAACUGGGGCUAAUACCGGAUAGGAGCUCCUGCUGCAUGGUGGGGGUUGGAAAGUUUCGGCGGUUUGGGAUGGACUCGCGGCUUAUCAGCUUGUUGGUGGGGUAGUGGCUUACCAAGGCUUUGACGGGUAGCCGGCCUGAGAGGGUGACCGGCCACAUUGGGACUGAGAUACGGCCCAGACUCCAACGGGAGGCAGCAGUGGGGAAUAUUGCACAAUGGGCGGAAGCCUGAUGCAGCAACGCCGCGUGCGGGAUGACGGCCUUCGGGUUGUAAACCGAUUUCGCCUGUGACGAAGCGUGAGUGACGGUAAUGGGUAAAGAAGCACCGGCUAACUACGUG
This 468-nucleotide ribosomal RNA is filed under the name uncultured bacterium. RNAcentral's name for it is "partial 16S ribosomal RNA". It matches the Rfam family "Bacterial small subunit ribosomal RNA", at positions 28 to 507 of the family's 1533-position model. The record is from RNAcentral.